UACGGGGGGGGCAAGCGUUGUUCGGAAUUACUGGGCGUAAAGGGCUCGUAGGUGGCCAACUAAGUCAGACGUGAAAUCCCUCAGCUUAACCGGGGAACUGCGUCUGAUACUGGAUGGCUGGAGUAUGGGAGAGGAAUGCGGAAUUCCAGGUGUAGCGGUGAAAUGCGUAGAUAUCUGGAGGAACACCGGUGGCGAAGGCGGCAUUCUGGACCAUUACUGACGCUGAGGAGCGAAAGCCAGGGGAGCAAACGGG
Molecule: ribosomal RNA, 253 nt
Filed under: uncultured bacterium
Lineage: Bacteria
Description: partial 16S ribosomal RNA
Rfam family: Bacterial small subunit ribosomal RNA
Source: RNAcentral